RNAcentral lists this long non-coding RNA (223 nucleotides) under Elaeis guineensis (African oil palm). RNAcentral describes it as "long non-coding RNA (EGUI_LNC076585)". Lineage: Eukaryota; Viridiplantae; Streptophyta; Magnoliopsida; Arecales; Arecaceae. The record is from RNAcentral.
AUAUCCAUCGGGAUCAAUCUUAAACUUUUCUUUUCAUUAUAUAUCCUUCUUCUCCAAGUAGAAUCUCAAUCUUUUGAACCUUUGAUCACAUGUUGAUCUCUGACUGUAGUGUCAACACUUGAAUUGCGACCUUUCUCCCUUUUGCUUGAUGUAGAAGAAGACACCCUUCUGAAGGAAUCAGAUCUAGGGUUUCAGGGUUAGAUCUUGAAAUUUUUUCAAGAUC